Long non-coding RNA from Cydia amplana, 484 nucleotides. RefSeq lists it as uncharacterized. The transcript has 2 exons. The record is from RefSeq and is a predicted model, not a curated record. Lineage: Eukaryota; Metazoa; Arthropoda; Insecta; Lepidoptera; Tortricidae.
UCCUUAUAUACACGGUGUAACAUGAGGAAACCGAAUAAUUUUAACCACGCAUUUCUGAGGUCAAAAGAAGGAAAGAAUGUAACACGAGUUUAGGUCAAUUUCGCCAAAAAAAAUUUUUUUUGGUUUGUUUUUUAAAAUUUUUGAAUGUAUUUGUACAUAAAUAAUAAAUCUUAUUGGUAAAUUUGUUACUUAAAUUGAUUUUUACAUGUUUUUUUUCGUAAAACCUUCUUUUUGCAAAGUGUUACUUGUCACUUUUUGACAUCUAUCAAUAAAGAUAUCGUCGGUACUACGUCCCAUAGCAGCAACAUCACCAUCAAAAAGGCCUUUUACAUUAUGUAACAACAAAAACUUGUUUAUUUUGAAAUUAAUAUUAUCUCUGAAUCUAGGCGUUUUUAAAAAAAAGUUUAUAGGACAUUUUUGUUUCUAAAUAUGAUCAGGAAUACGCUGUUAAAAUUAUUCGGUUUACUCAUGUUACACCGUGUAU